Molecule: ribosomal RNA, 314 nt
Filed under: uncultured eukaryote
Lineage: Eukaryota
Description: partial 18S ribosomal RNA
Rfam family: Eukaryotic small subunit ribosomal RNA
Source: RNAcentral
CCCUUAGAUGUUCUGGGCCGCACGCGCGCUACACUGACGAAUGCAACGAGCUUAUAACCUUGGCCGAAAGGUCUGGGUAAUCUCCAAAUUUCGUCGUGAUGGGGAUAGAUUAUUGCAAUUAUUAAUCUUCAACGAGGAAUGCCUAGUAAGCGCAAGUCAUCAGCUUGCGUUGAUUACGUCCCUGCCCUUUGUACACACCGCCCGUCGCACCUACCGAUUGAAUGGUCCGGUGAAGCCUCGGGAUUGCGAAUGCUUCGUGCGGACGCGAGAACUUGGCUAAACCUUACCAUUUAGAGGAAGGUGAANUCGUANCA